AAUAAGCGCAGCCGUGGGUUUCCGUGUUCAACGUUUGACCAUCUCUCUUAUAUAAAAAAUUUAUAAAAAUAUAAAAGAAAUUAGUCACAAAUAAAAUAUUAUUCAUAUUUUAUCAUCUAAUAACAAUAAAAAUACUAAUCAUAAAAAAAUUUCAAACAAGAUGAAUGGUUAAAUGUUGGACAUC
This is a microRNA precursor of Oryza sativa Indica Group (long-grained rice), 184 nucleotides long. It matches the Rfam family "MIR812 microRNA precursor family". The record is from Rfam. NCBI's taxonomy places the organism in Eukaryota, Viridiplantae, Streptophyta, Magnoliopsida, Poales, Poaceae.